This 231-nucleotide long non-coding RNA is filed under the name Neodiprion pinetum (white pine sawfly). RNAcentral's name for it is "uncharacterized LOC124218663". Lineage: Eukaryota; Metazoa; Arthropoda; Insecta; Hymenoptera; Diprionidae. The record is from RNAcentral.
UCAAUUUGCAUCAAAAUCGAGUCAACCAAAAUGGAUAUUAUUCCUCAAGGAUCCAAGAUGGAGGUUGUGCAGUGGACACGACAGCAACUGUUUGAUGCCGUGCAUGAGGAAUGGGACGAAAAUCUCGAUGACCUUAUCGAAAAUUUGGGCGUUAAACUGCUCAAUAAAGCACCACAUUUUUUUCGCAUCGAAAAAAAUGUGUAAGAAUUAAAGAAAUUAAUUUACAAAAUA